RNAcentral lists this non-coding RNA (185 nucleotides) under Acidobacteriota bacterium. Its description in RNAcentral is "Acidobacteria bacterium 6S RNA". It matches the Rfam family "6S / SsrS RNA". From Rfam's summary of the family: E. coli 6S RNA was the first non coding RNA to be sequenced, but its function was unknown until recently. Lineage: Bacteria; Pseudomonadati; Acidobacteriota. The record is from RNAcentral.
AGUACCCUGCUUUGCGCGUGAUGGCCCGGAGGCUCGUUUGAGCCAACGUUACAUCCUAAGAGAAUCGCGAUGCCCCGCCGUGUGCAUGCCUCUGCGAGAGGAAGCCUGACGCGUGGCCUGAACAGCGGUUCCACCUGCUUUGUGCAGGUUCAUCCGACCUCCCCACACGGCAAAGCGGGGCCUUU